This 352-nucleotide ribosomal RNA is filed under the name uncultured bacterium. RNAcentral describes it as "bacterial SSU rRNA". It matches the Rfam family "Bacterial small subunit ribosomal RNA", at positions 355 to 724 of the family's 1533-position model. The record is from RNAcentral.
UCGGGAAUUUUGGGCAAUGGGCGAAAGCCUGACCCAGCAACGCCGCGUGAAGGAUGAAGUAUUUCGGUAUGUAAACUUCGAAAGAAUAGGAAGAAUAAAUGACGGUACUAUUUAUAAGGUCCGGCUAACUACGUGCCAGCAGCCGCGGUAAUACGUAGGGACCAAGCGUUGUUCGGAUUUACUGGGCGUAAAGGGCGCGUAGGCGGCAAUUCAAGUCAUCUGUGAAAUCUCCGGGCUUAACUCGGAACGGUCAGAUGAUACUGCUUUGCUAGAGUGCAGAAGGGGCAAUCGGAAUUCUUGGUGUAGCGGUGAAAUGCGUAGAUAUCAAGAGGAACACCUGAGGUGAAGACGG